GCUUGUCUCUCAAGUUUCUACAGCAGUAGAAAAAGACUCAAUGUGGCUUAAACAGGGUUAAUUAUUUCUGAAGAUCGUUCCAGCUAUUGGCUUUCUGAGUCAUAUUGAUAGAAAUGGCUCAGCUGAAAUUUUCUUGAUGGAUCAGGAUGAUAUAUAAACUGAGAUCAGAUUCAGGUAUUUAUCUCUACUAUAUUCAAAGAUCUCUUCAGGCUUGUCUGUUUUGUUGCUGGGAUCUGCAAGGUAAAAAUAGAACAGAGAAAAUAGAGGUGAGAUGCUGAGAACUGUUGGAUGUGUUUUACAUGAGGAAUUUGAAAUGCUAUGGGAAAUUCACCUUUACCAGAACAAAAGGUGAGGAAAGAAGGAAAUAGAAAUAAUUCACAGUCCCUCACCUGAGUGACAGACUCUAUUUACUGCUACUUGUAAUGUCCUGUGUGAUAAAG
Passer domesticus (house sparrow) is the source of this 440-nucleotide long non-coding RNA. RefSeq lists it as uncharacterized. The transcript is spliced from 4 exons. Lineage: Eukaryota; Metazoa; Chordata; Aves; Passeriformes; Passeridae. The record is from RefSeq and is a predicted model, not a curated record.